Long non-coding RNA from Ornithorhynchus anatinus (platypus), 640 nucleotides. RefSeq lists it as uncharacterized. The transcript has 2 exons. NCBI's taxonomy places the organism in Eukaryota, Metazoa, Chordata, Mammalia, Monotremata, Ornithorhynchidae. The record is from RefSeq and is a predicted model, not a curated record.
UUACUAGGCCGCCACCGUGGCGGAAUGCUCAUCUACUGAACUGCCAUUAUUCCAGGUGGCCGUUGGGCUUGGGCGGUCACCGCACUGGACUACCUACGCACUGCGCGGCCACUGUACUGGGUGGUCAUCGGCCCAGAUGACCACUGACCGGGCUGCCUUGGGAGGCCAUGGGUGACCCGCACAUAUUAGACACUCGGUUUAAAUGGUCGAUGGAUUGACUGAAGCUUGGAUCCAGGAUCCUGUCGCCCAUGAGCCUGGUUAAAGUUCCCGAAUGGCACGUGACGGCGUCUCCGAGUCGUAUUAAUGGUAUUUAUUGAGGACCCGCCGAGUGCCGUGAUGUCACCCGUCGCCAACGGUCAGGUUUGGCGAUCGGCGAGGCAAAUGAAGUCACAAUUUCCUUGUCCGGCGACGGAGUUAUAAUGGAUUGCUUCAAUCAACUCCAGUCAAAUCACUGAACCGAGUUAUCCAGGAGUAACCGCCGAUGAAAAAUUGUCAUUCUAAAUAUGAUUCUUCACUUAUCUAAGGACUAUAUUUAUUAGGUGCUCGCCGAGCUCGCGUAAUUAUUGGGAGAGGGGAGAGUAGUUUUCCACCUCUAGCUUCCAGAUUGUCUCGGGGAAAAUAGAGCAUUUUACGCACCGAC